AACGAACGCUGGCGGCAUGCCUAACACAUGCAAGUCGAACGAGACCUUCGGGUCUAGUGGCGCACGGGUGCGUAACGCGUGGGAAUCUGCCCUUGGGUUCGGAAUAACAGUUGGAAACGACUGCUAAUACCGGAUGAUGACGUAAGUCCAAAGAUUUAUCGCCCAAGGAUGAGCCCGCGUAGGAUUAGCUAGUUGGUGAGGUAAAGGCUCACCAAGGCGACGAUCCUUAGCUGGUCUGAGAGGAUGAUCAGCCACACUGGGACUGAGACACGGCCCAGACUCCUACGGGAGGGAGCAGUGGGGAAUAUUGGACAAGGGGCGAAAGCCUGAUCCAGCAAUGCCGCGUGAGUGAUGAAGGCCGUAGGGUUGUAAAGCUCUUUUACCCGGGAUGAUAAUGACAGUACCGGGAGAAUAAGCUCCGGCUAACUCCGUG
Molecule: ribosomal RNA, 433 nt
Filed under: uncultured bacterium
Lineage: Bacteria
Description: partial 16S ribosomal RNA
Rfam family: Bacterial small subunit ribosomal RNA
Source: RNAcentral